This 468-nucleotide ribosomal RNA is filed under the name uncultured bacterium. RNAcentral's name for it is "partial 16S ribosomal RNA". It matches the Rfam family "Bacterial small subunit ribosomal RNA", at positions 28 to 507 of the family's 1533-position model. The record is from RNAcentral.
GACGAACGCUGGCGGCGUGCUUAACACAUGCAAGUCGAACGGAAAGGCCCUGCUUUUGUGGGGUGCUCGAGUGGCGAACGGGUGAGUAACACGUGAGUAACCUGCCCUUGUCUUUGGGAUAACUUCAGGAAACUGGGGCUAAUACCGGAUAGGAGCUCUUGCUGCAUGGUGGGGGUUGGAAAGUUUCGGCGGUUGGGGAUGGACUCGCGGCUUAUCCGCUUGUUAGUGGGGUAGUCGCUUCCCAAGGGUUUGACGGGUAGGCGGCCUGAGAGGGUGAACAGGCACAUGGCGACUGCGAUACGGCGCAGUCUCCUACGGGAGGCAGCAGUCGAGAGUAUGGCACAGUGGGCCGAAGCCAGAUGCAGCAACGCUGCGUGCGGAAUGACGGCCUACGGGUUGUAAACCACUGUCGCCUGUGACGAGGCGGGAGUGACGGUAAUGGGUAAAGAAGCACCGGCUAACUACGUG